CCUUUGUAGUAUAAAAAGUACGUUGAUUUCCACUCAGAGGGUCUGUCUUAAGUCGAAGGU
Molecule: transfer RNA, 60 nt
Filed under: Idotea baltica
Lineage: Eukaryota; Metazoa; Arthropoda; Malacostraca; Isopoda; Idoteidae
Description: tRNA-Gly
Source: RNAcentral